GAUGAACGCUGGCGGCGUGCCUAAUACAUGCAAGUCGAGCGAACGGACGAGAAGCUUGCUUCUCUGAUGUUAGCGGCGGACGGGUGAGUAACACGUGGAUAACCUACCUAUAAGACUGGGAUAACUUCGGGAAACCGGAGCUAAUACCGGAUAAUAUUUUGAACCGCAUGGUUCAAAAGUGAAAGACGGUCUUGCUGUCACUUAUAGAUGGAUCCGCGCUGCAUUAGCUAGUUGGUAAGGUAACGGCUUACCAAGGCAACGAUGCAUAGCCGACCUGAGAGGGUGAUCGGCCACACUGGAACUGAGACACGGUCCAGACUCCUACGGGAGGCAGCAGUAGGGAAACUUCCGCAAUGGGCGAAGGCCUGACGGAGCAACGCCGCGUGAGUGAUGAAGGUCUUCGGAUCGUAAAACUCUGUUAUUAGGGAAGAACAUAUGUGUAAGUAACUGUGCACAUCUUGACGGUACCUAAUCAGAAAGCCACGGCUAACUACGUG
This 497-nucleotide ribosomal RNA is filed under the name uncultured bacterium. RNAcentral describes it as "partial 16S ribosomal RNA". It matches the Rfam family "Bacterial small subunit ribosomal RNA", at positions 28 to 507 of the family's 1533-position model. The record is from RNAcentral.